UCCGGUUUAACACCGGCAGUCUCACUAGAGUGCCCAGCCUAACUGAUGGCAACUAGUGAUAGGGGUUGCGCUCGUUGCGGGACUUAACCCAACACCUCACGACACGAGCUGACGACAGCCAUGCAGCACCUGUCUUACGGUUCCCGAAGGCACCCCCCUGUUUCCAGGAGGUUCCGUAGAUGUCAAGCCUAGGUAAGGUUUCUCGCGUAGUGUCGAAUUAAACCACAUGUUCCACCGCUUGUGCGGACCCCCGUCAAUUCCUUUGAGUUUUAGUCUUGCGACCGUACUUCCCAGGCGGAGAACUUAAUGCGUUAGCUACGGCACCGCAGGGGUCAACACCCACGACACCUAGUUCUCAUCGUUUACGGCGUGGACUAC
This 378-nucleotide unclassified non-coding RNA is filed under the name uncultured delta proteobacterium. RNAcentral's name for it is "contains 16S-23S intergenic spacer region". The record is from RNAcentral. Lineage: Bacteria; Deltaproteobacteria.